GACGUAGGGUGCGAGCGUUGUCCGGAUUUAUUGGGCGUAAAGAGCUCGUAGGCGGCUCGUCGCGUCGACCGUGAAAACCCGCGGCUUAACUGCGGGCUUGCGGUUGAUACGGGCGGGCUAGAGUUCGGUAGGGGAGACUGGAAUUCCUGGUGUAGCGGUGAAAUGCGCAGAUAUCAGGAGGAACACCGGUGGCGAAGGCGGGUCUCUGGGCCGAUACUGACGCUGAGGAGCGAAAGCGUGGGAGCGAACAGG
This 252-nucleotide ribosomal RNA is filed under the name uncultured bacterium. RNAcentral's name for it is "partial 16S ribosomal RNA". It matches the Rfam family "Bacterial small subunit ribosomal RNA", at positions 524 to 776 of the family's 1533-position model. The record is from RNAcentral.